AGAAAGCCUUGGAGGUAGCAUUAAAUUCCUUUGUAAGAAAAUACAGAUGAAGACAAAGUUGAAGUGAGCUGCCCAGUUUGUGCUGCAGGUGUGGAGUCUCCAUGAAGAGCAGAUGGGCAGAGAAGAUCUACGGAUCUCCCUGGUACAUGGAGUCACCUGGAGAAGUGUGAGGCCAUCCAGGAAAGCACUGAGACAAGUAGGGAGAAGAUCAAAAUGAUAAAAUAGUAAUAUGCCAACAGAAAAGGAUUGAAUGGGCAGAGACUGGUAACAUUGUCCUCUCGGAGCCCUAAUGGGCAGGGAUGAAUGGUGACAGACUAUCCUUCACUGGCAGCAGCUACAGACUGAUUCUCCCAAGGUGAAGCGCUCCUUUCUUGUGCCACUCAGAGCCAGGAUGAGAGGGAGCUGCUGAGCAGAGCCCCACGUGUGCCCCUGCCCCACAAACCUGCACAAGCUGUGCUCCAG
This 462-nucleotide long non-coding RNA is filed under the name Parus major (Great Tit). RNAcentral describes it as "lncRNA (ENSPMJG00000003317.1)". The record is from RNAcentral. Lineage: Eukaryota; Metazoa; Chordata; Aves; Passeriformes; Paridae.